Small nuclear RNA from Tupaia belangeri (northern tree shrew), 105 nucleotides. The record is from Ensembl. NCBI's taxonomy places the organism in Eukaryota, Metazoa, Chordata, Mammalia, Scandentia, Tupaiidae.
GUGCUUGCUCCGCAGCACACAUACUAAAAUUGGAACAAUAGAGAAGAUUGGCAUGGCCCCUGCCACAGGGGCGACAUGCAAAUCUGUGAAGCAGUCUAUUUAAAU